Python bivittatus (Burmese python) is the source of this 215-nucleotide non-coding RNA. Lineage: Eukaryota; Metazoa; Chordata; Lepidosauria; Squamata; Pythonidae. The record is from RefSeq and is a predicted model, not a curated record.
UUGACAGAGAGCUUUCUAUCAUGCCUUCAGGAUGUAAACUACAUUACGCAGGCAGAUACAACACAUCCCCUUAAACUUUGUGCCUGUCUUUUGUUCACGAGUUGGAAGAUCAGCUGCCUGCUGCCUCUCCAAAUGUACAGCAUUUGGAAAUGGUGAUGGUGAGGACAAACUGGAGGAAAGGAAUAACAUUCACCAGAGAGGAAGAAAACAACAAC